RNAcentral lists this unclassified non-coding RNA (250 nucleotides) under plant metagenome. Its description in RNAcentral is "partial contains small subunit ribosomal RNA, internal transcribed spacer 1, and 5.8S ribosomal RNA". The record is from RNAcentral.
GUAGGUGAACCUGCGGAAGGAUCAUUAUCACGUAAUAAUCCACGUUAUAAACCCUUCUUUGAAUUGUUUAAAACACUAAAUUUCUGGAACAGCUUUGUGCUGGAAUGCUUCUGGAUUGGGAUAUGGAAAUUUUAACAACACGCUGUCUUAUAAAUUUAUUUAUGAGAUUGAAAUGGGAAAAUUAUUGUAAUUUGAGAUCCCAGAGUAUUGUUAAUAGUUCAUAACCAGCAAUUCGUUAGCGUCUAAGAAA